Molecule: ribosomal RNA, 465 nt
Filed under: uncultured bacterium
Lineage: Bacteria
Description: partial 16S ribosomal RNA
Rfam family: Bacterial small subunit ribosomal RNA
Source: RNAcentral
CCUACGGGUGGCUGCAGUAGGGAAUCUUCCACAAUGGGCGAAAGCCUGAUGGAGCAACGCCGCGUGGGUGAAGAAGGUCUUCGGAUCGUAAAACCCUGUUGUUAGAGAAGAAAGUGCGUGAGAGUAACUGUUCACGUUUCGACGGUAUCUAACCAGAAAGCCACGGCUAAAUACGUGCCAGCAGCCGCGGUAAUACGUAGGUGGCAAGCGUGAUCCGGAUUUAUUGGGCGUAAAGGGAACGCAGGCGGUCUUUUAAGUCUGAUGUGAAAGCCUGCGGCUUAACCGGAGUAGUGCAUUGGAAACUGGGAGACUUGAGUGCAGAAGAGGAGGGUGGAACUCGAGGUGUAGCGGUGAAAUGCUUAGAUAUAUGGAAGAACACCGGUUGCGAAAGCAGCUCUCUGGUCUGUAACUGACGCUGAGGUUCGAAAGCGUGGGUAGCAAACAGGAUUAGAUACCCGGGUAGUC